This 468-nucleotide ribosomal RNA is filed under the name uncultured bacterium. RNAcentral's name for it is "partial 16S ribosomal RNA". It matches the Rfam family "Bacterial small subunit ribosomal RNA", at positions 28 to 507 of the family's 1533-position model. The record is from RNAcentral.
GACGAACGCUGGCGGCGUGCUUAACACAUGCAAGUCGAACGGAAAGGCCCUGCUUUUGUGGGGUGCUCGAGUGGCGAACGGGUGAGUAACACGUGAGUAACCUGCCCUUUACUUUGGGAUAACUUCAUGAAACUGGGGCUAAUACCGGAUAGGAUCUCCUGCUGCAUGGUGGGGGUUGGAAAUUUUCGGCGGUUGGGGAUGGACUCGCGGCUUAUCAGCUUGUUGGUGGGGUAGUGGCUUACCAAGGCUUUGACGGGUAGCCGGCAUGAGAGGGUGACCGGCCACAUUGGGACUGAGAUACGGCCCAGACUCCUACGGGAGGCAGAAGUGGGGAAUAUUGCACAAUGGGCGGAAGCCUGAGGCAGCAACGCCGCGUGCGGGAUGACGGCCUUCGGGUUGUAAACCGCUUUCGCCUGUGACGAAGCGUGAGUGACGGUAAUGGGUAAAGAAGCACCGGCUAACUACGUG